Molecule: transfer RNA, 69 nt
Filed under: Ictidomys tridecemlineatus (thirteen-lined ground squirrel)
Lineage: Eukaryota; Metazoa; Chordata; Mammalia; Rodentia; Sciuridae
Description: Spermophilus tridecemlineatus (thirteen-lined ground squirrel) tRNA
Rfam family: tRNA
About the family: Transfer RNA (tRNA) molecules are approximately 80 nucleotides in length. Their secondary structure includes four short double-helical elements and three loops (D, anti-codon, and T loops). Further hydrogen bonds mediate the characteristic L-shaped molecular structure. tRNAs have two regions of fundamental functional importance: the anti-codon, which is responsible for specific mRNA codon recognition, and the 3' end, to which the tRNAs corresponding amino acid is attached (by aminoacyl-tRNA synthetases). tRNAs cope with the degeneracy of the genetic code in two manners: having more than one tRNA (with a specific anti-codon) for a particular amino acid; and 'wobble' base-pairing, i.e. permitting non-standard base-pairing at the 3rd anti-codon position.
Source: Rfam by way of RNAcentral
GGGGUUGUGGCUCAGUGUUAGAGCGCUUGCCUUGCACGUGUGAAACACUGGGUUUGAUCCUCAACCCCA